Molecule: ribosomal RNA, 253 nt
Filed under: uncultured bacterium
Lineage: Bacteria
Description: partial 16S ribosomal RNA
Rfam family: Bacterial small subunit ribosomal RNA
Source: RNAcentral
UACAGAGGGUGCGAGCGUUGUUCGGAAUUAUUGGGCGUAAAGGGCGCGUAGGCGGUGCGGUAAGUCACCUGUGAAAUCUCCUGGCUCAACUGGGAGCUUGCAGGCGAAACUGCCGUGCUGGAGUGUGGGAGAGGUGCGUGGAAUUCCUGGUGUAGCGGUGAGAUGCGUAGAUAUCAGGAGGAACACCUGUGGCGAAAGCGGCGCACUGGACCACAACUGACGCUGAGGCGCGAAAGCUAGGGGAGCAAACAGG